Molecule: ribosomal RNA, 921 nt
Filed under: uncultured Bacteroidota bacterium
Lineage: Bacteria; Pseudomonadati; Bacteroidota
Description: bacterial SSU rRNA
Rfam family: Bacterial small subunit ribosomal RNA
Source: RNAcentral
UGGAUCCAGACUUUGAUUUGGCUCAGGAUGAACGCUAGCUACAGGCUUAACACAUGCAAGUCGAGGGGCAGCAUGUCGGUAGCUUGCUACCGAUGAUGGCGACCGGCGCACGGGUGAGUAACGCGUAUCCAACCUGCCAUUGUCCCGCGCAUAACCCGGUGAAAACCGGACUAAUUCGCGAUGUGUCCCGUUGAGGCAUCGAUUCGGGAUGAAAGAUUUAUCGGACAGUGAUGGGGAUGCGUCUGAUUAGCUUGCCGGCGGGGUAACGGCCCACCGGGGCGACGAUCAGUAGGGGUUCUGAGAGGAAGGUCCCCCACAUUGGAACUGAGACACGGUCCAAACUCCUACGGGGGGCAGCAGUGAGGAAUAUUGGUCAAUGGGCGCGAGCCUGAACCAGCCAAGUAGCGUGCAGGAUGACGGCCCUACGGGUUGUAAACUGCUUUUAUGCGGGGAUAAAGUCCGCCACGUGUGGCGUUUUGCAGGUACCGCAUGAAUAAGGACCGGCUAAUUCCGUGCCAGCAGCCGCGGUAAUACGGAAGGUCCGGGCGUUAUCCGGAUUUAUUGGGUUUAAAGGGAGCGUAGGCCGCCGAUUAAGCGUGUUGUGAAAUGCCGUGGCUCAACCAUGGCACUGCAGCGCGAACUGGUUGGCUUGAGUGCGCGGAAGGCAGGCGGAAUUCGUGGUGUAGCGGUGAAAUGCUUAGAUAUCACGAAGAACCCCGAUUGCGAAGGCAGCUUGCCGCAGCGCUACUGACGCUGAAGCUCGAAGGUGCGGGUAUCGAACAGGAUUAGAUACCCUGGUAGUCCGCACGGUAAACGAUGGAUGCCCGCUGUGUGCCAUUAUGGUACGCGGCCAAGCGAAAGCGUUAAGCAUCCCACCUGGGGAGUACGCCGGCAACGGUGCAACUCAAAUGAAUUGACGGA